UACAGGUAUUUCCAGUUUUGUUCUGCAGAUAAUUUGAGCUCCAUCUGUGGUUGAUGAAUAUUUUUUAGUAUGCUAUUACAAAUUAUGGCUUUCGGCACUGUUGCAGCCUCUCUCUGCUAAUUCAGCUACAUAAAAUAUUGUGUUUCUUGAUUCUGGGUAUAUUUCCAUAGUGGGAAAUGCAGUGAGAGAAACAGGAGUUCUAUUGUCUAUUGCAAUUUGUUGGUUGGUUCAUUUCCACAUAAAAUACUGUUUUUAAUUUUAUGCUGAAAUAGGUGAUUAUUAAUUCUAAAAUAUAAAUUUCCAACAGAGUCUGUACAAAACUCCUUCUAAGGAAGUAGGAUAUAUUUGGACAGAAAUUUUAAUUCAUAUCAAUACCUACCUAGUAACUAUAUAGUUACUUAAUUUGAUUUGAAACAAGAAACAUUUGAUUAUAUUUAUAUUGUGAAUAAUUUAGACUGUGGUCAGUUAAGAAUGAGUUUUAAUCCAUUUUGGUGAAAUUAUUCCUAUAAAUUAACAAAAUUAUGACAUAUAUUGUAGUUUGAUGUUGUAGUUCUUCCUAGAUAUAUUCCUGAUAUAAUUUUAGUACAUGAACUGUUAUAUACUGAAUCUGUGUAUAGGCUCACAGGUCUGGCAGGUCUAUUAUAGCAGAGGUCAGAGUAAGGCAGAAGAUUAUGUCCUAAUAGAAAGGAAGGUUAAGCUAGAUGAUUAAGGGAACAAAGUGUAGGCCCGGCAUGGUGGCUCAUGCCUGUAAUCCCAGAACUUUGGGAGGCUGAGGCAGGCGGAACACAAGGUCAGGAGAUCGAGACCACCCUGGCUAACACGGUGGCUAAACCCCAUCUCUACUAAAAACACAAAAAAUUAGUUGGGCAUGGUGGUAGGCACCUGUAGUCCCAGCUAUUUGGGAGGCUGAGGCAGGAGAAUCUUUUCUACCUGAGAAGCAGAGAUUGCAGUGAGCCGAGAUCAUAGCACUGCACCCCAGCCUGGGUGACAGAGCAAGAGUCUAUCUUAGCAAAAAAAAAAAAAAAAAA
This 1028-nucleotide long non-coding RNA is filed under the name Macaca fascicularis (crab-eating macaque). RNAcentral's name for it is "lncRNA (ENSMFAG00000052050.1)". The record is from RNAcentral. Lineage: Eukaryota; Metazoa; Chordata; Mammalia; Primates; Cercopithecidae.